This 499-nucleotide ribosomal RNA is filed under the name uncultured bacterium. Its description in RNAcentral is "partial 16S ribosomal RNA". It matches the Rfam family "Bacterial small subunit ribosomal RNA", at positions 30 to 523 of the family's 1533-position model. The record is from RNAcentral.
AUUGAACGCUGGCGGCAGGCCUAACACAUGCAAGCCGAGCGGAUGACGGGAGCUUGCUCCUUGAUUCAGCGGCGGACGGGUGAGUAAUGCCUAGGAAUCUGCCUGGUAGUGGGGGACAACGUUUCGAAAGGAACGCUAAUACCGCAUACGUCCUACGGGAGAAAGCAGGGGACCUUCGGGCCUUGCGCUAUCAGAUGAGCCUAGGUCGGAUUAGCUAGUUGGUGAGGUAAUGGCUCACCAAGGCGACGAUCCGUAACUGGUCUGAGAGGAUGAUCAGUCACACUGGAACUGAGACACGGUCCAGACUCCUACGGGAGGCAGCAGUGGGAAUAUUGGACAAUGGGCGAAAGCCUGAUCCAGCCAUGCCGCGUGUGUGAAGAAGGUCUUCGGAUUGUAAAGCACUUUAAGUUGGGAGGAAGGGCAGUAAGUUAAUACCUUGCUGUUUUGACGUUACCGACAGAAUAAGCACCGGCUAACUCUGUGCCAGCCGCCGCGGUAA